GGGCUGGCGGAGCUACCAUGCAGUCGAGCGGAACGACACUAACAAUCCUUCGGGUGCGUUAAUGGGCGUCGAGCGGCGGACGGGUGAGUAAUGCCUAGGAAAUUGCCUUGAUGUGGGGGAUAACCAUUGGAAACGAUGGCUAAUACCGCAUAAUGCCUACGGGCCAAAGAGGGGGAUCUUCGGACCUCUCGCGUCAAGAUAUGCCUAGGUGGGAUUAGCUAGUUGGUGAGGUAAUGGCUCACCAAGGCGACGAUCCCUAGCUGGUCUGAGAGGAUGAUCAGCCACACUGGAACUGAGACACGGUCCAGACUCCUACGGGAGGCAGCAGUGGGGAAUAUUGCACAAUGGGCGAAAGCCUGAUGCAGCCAUGCCGCGUGUAUGAAGAAGGCCUUCGGGUUGUAAAGUACUUUCAGUUGUGAGGAAGGGGGUAACGUUAAUAGCGUUAUCUCUUGACGUUAGCAACAGAAGAAGCACCGGCUAACUCCGUGCCAGCAGCCGCGGUAAUACGGAGGGUGCGAGCGUUAAUCGGAAUUACUGGGCGUAAAGCGCAUGCAGGUGGUUCAUUAAGUCAGAUGUGAAAGCCCGGGGCUCAACCUCGGAACUGCAUUUGAAACUGGUGAACUAGAGUGCUGUAGAGGGGGGUAGAAUUUCAGGUGUAGCGGUGAAAUGCGUAGAGAUCUGAAGGAAUACCAGUGGCGAAGGCGGCCCCCUGGACAGACACUGACACUCAGAUGCGAAAGCGUGGGGAGCAAACAGGAUUAGAUACCCUGGUAGUCCACGCCGUAAACGAUGUCUACUUGGAGGUUGUGGCCUUGAGCCGUGGCUUUCGGAGCUAACGCGUUAAGUAGACCGCCUGGGGAGUACGGUCGCAAGAUUAAAACUCAAAUGAAUUGACGGGGGCCCGCACAAGCGGUGGAGCAUGUGGUUUAAUUCGAUGCAACGCGAAGAACCUUACCUACUCUUGACAUCCAGAGAAGCCAGCGGAGACGCAAGUGUGCCUUCGGGAACUCUGAGACAGGUGCUGCAUGGCUGUCGUCAGCUCGUGUUGUGAAAUGUUGGGUUAAGUCCCGCAACGAGCGCAACCCUUAUCCUUGUUUGCCAGCGAGUAAUGUCGGGAACUCCAGGGAGACUGCCGGUGAUAAACCGGAAGAAAGGUGGGGACAACGUCAAGUCAUCAUGGCCCUUACGAAUAAGGGCUACCCACGUUGCUACAAUGGGCCCAAACGGAGGGCACCAAGCUUGCGGAUUUUGACCUAAUCCCAAAAAGUGCGUCGGAAACCGGGAUUGGAGUCCUGGAUCCGGC
RNAcentral lists this ribosomal RNA (1303 nucleotides) under Vibrio sp. An92. RNAcentral's name for it is "bacterial SSU rRNA". It matches the Rfam family "Bacterial small subunit ribosomal RNA", at positions 33 to 1316 of the family's 1533-position model. The record is from RNAcentral. Lineage: Bacteria; Pseudomonadati; Pseudomonadota; Gammaproteobacteria; Vibrionales; Vibrionaceae.